Molecule: long non-coding RNA, 1223 nt
Organism: Triplophysa dalaica
Lineage: Eukaryota; Metazoa; Chordata; Actinopteri; Cypriniformes; Nemacheilidae
Exons: 8
Source: RefSeq, a predicted model, not a curated record
GUUGAGCGUUGACUCCGUCGAUGUUUGUUUCUAGAAGUUAGAUCUGUGUCAAAUCGUGUUGUUUUAUUCUUAAUCUUCCAAUAAUCAAAUAGUUUUUAGUCUAGCAAAUAGUUUUCCUUCAUAUCAUAUGUCAUAGGCUACUGCUUUCAGCCGAACAUUGUUACCGAAAUUCAAAUGUUUUCCACAUGAGGCCUGUUGAGAGAGUUAUGACGAAUAAAUAGAUACAUGUUCACAAAACACCACAGUGAAGGCCACACAAGACAUGUUAUUGAGCAGUCAGGGUCCUGGAUCUCAUGUUGGUCAACACAGCACAGUACCAACAUUGUGUAUCAGACACAAGUCUCCGUCUCCGGCUGGCAUCACUGUGGAUAUUGUGGUUUCCAUCCGGCUGGCGCGGUAGAUGCUGGCCUGAGUCUGUAGAUAGCGGGUGGAUUUGAGCUCCAGACCUUCAUACGUGCCUUGAGGAACACAUGGACACCAGGAGAACGCCUGCUGAAAUCCAGCUCGAAAUCUGCAAGAUACAACAGUCACUGAAUGGACAGUAGAUGAUGGGAUUGUACAUGGUGGAGCUCAUGGCGAGCCACAUGAUUCCUAAGUACACCUGCUGGAUGUAGCGCUCCUCAAACAGGUUGGGAAAGAACUGAUGCAGCAGAAAAUAGACGUGAUACGGCAGCCAGCAGACGGCAAAGGUGCACACGACCACAAUCAUCAUCUUCACCACCUACAGAAGAUAAAUGAGCUGCUCUCGAUAGCGAUCCGAAGAGUCUCCAGGAAUCUCACCGGCCCAGAGAGUGCAUCCCACCACCAGAUACGCACAGCCCAUGACCAGCAACGAUGAACUAACAAGGCCAGUUCUUUGAUGACAUCAUCCUCCAGGAUGCAAAGUGACAUCAUACACGGUGCAGCUCUGUGGACGGGUCCUGAUGAGAGGAUGCUGAGCGGACAGAUAAAAGAUGCUCGGCUCGAUGUGCCAGCUAGAUUAAACAACAGACUCUCUAUCAUCCGGUGGCUUGCUGACAAAUAACGAGACGCCAUAGAAAUCCAUUCGUCAGUAAACACGAUGUUGUGAAUCUGCUUCCGGCUUAACUUCACCUCUAAUCCCUGAUUAUUACAUCUCAAGUUUGAGAAUCUGGUGAAGAUGUUUCUCUGAAGAGUCGUGUUAUCUCAUCCACAAGGACAUCGCAGGCUUACAGGGUUUUAUUUAUUGAGAUUCAUCAAAGCAA